RNAcentral lists this ribosomal RNA (482 nucleotides) under uncultured bacterium. Its description in RNAcentral is "partial 16S ribosomal RNA". It matches the Rfam family "Bacterial small subunit ribosomal RNA", at positions 30 to 507 of the family's 1533-position model. The record is from RNAcentral.
AUUGAACGCUGGCGGCAUGCCUUACACAUGCAAGUCGAACGGUAACAGGUCUUCGGAUGCUGACGAGUGGCGAACGGGUGAGUAAUACAUCGGAACGUGCCUAGUAGUGGGGGAUAACUACUCGAAAGAGUGGCUAAUACCGCAUGAGAUCUACGGAUGAAAGCAGUGGAUCGCAAGACCUUGUGCUACUAGAGCGGCCGAUGGCAGAUUAGGUAGUUGGUGGGAUAAAAGCUUACCAAGCCGACGAUCUGUAGCUGGUCUGAGAGGACGAUCAGCCACACUGGGACUGAGACACGGCCCAGACUCCUACGGGAGGCAGCAGUGGGGAAUUUUGGACAAAGGGCGCAAGCCUGAUCCAGCAAUGCCGCGUGCAGGAUGAAGGCCUUCGGGUUGUAAACUGCUUUUGUACGGAACGAAAAGCCCUGGGUUAAUACCCUGGGGUCAUGACGGUACCGUAAGAAUAAGCACCGGCUAACUACGUG